Non-coding RNA from Chlorocebus sabaeus (green monkey), 1779 nucleotides. Lineage: Eukaryota; Metazoa; Chordata; Mammalia; Primates; Cercopithecidae. The record is from RefSeq and is a predicted model, not a curated record.
CUCAUGCAGUCCACCUGCCUUGGCCUCCCAAAGUGCUGAGAUUACAGGCAUGAGCCCCCCUGCCUGGCCCAGCCUUUCUCCUUAAUUCUGGUAGCUAGAGCAUGGACUGUAACAUGAGUACAGUUACUUUAUCUACAGAGACAUUGUAAGUUCAGAGGCGUGAGAGUUAGCAUCCAGAGGCUGCAGACAUCAGCAGCACAGCUGUCUCUCCCACAGGAUCAUUGUCAGCAGAACAUCCUACACCAAUGGCUCUUUGGGCAGGACCUUGGCUGUGCUUUGUCUGUCUAGCUUCCUGCCCAAGUUUGGUGUCUCUCCCCAGAUCACUCUCCAGUAAACCUUUUGCGUGAAACUGGUUAUCUCAGAAACUGUUUUUAAGACAAAGAUUGAAGUCCAAAAUAAACUAUCAAAGAACUUGUGUGGAUUAGCUUGCUAUAUACAUCCAAGAUUUGAAGAACUGAAAAAAAAAAAAAUCAGUAUUAAACCUGCUUUUUAAAAAGGUAAGUGAAGUAACUUCUGGUCAUGGUUCAUUUCAGACCUCUCUAAAGCCUGCAAUUUCCCCUAGAGUAUGUGAAUUUUUUUCCAGAAGUAGGAUUACUUGACUCUAGUGAGUCUACUAAUUAAGUCUAGGAGUGUUUGUAUCCACUCCCCUUUUUAAAACCUGUAAAUUCUAAGAGUAGCAUGAAUAACAGGUGGCUGUAGGAUUUAGACGUGGUGUGGCAGGCGAUGAGCAAAUCUUCAUUUGGCACUGAGAAGGAAAACACACACCUUGUAGCACAUAAAAUAAAAAGCAUAGCCCUCUUCUCGAGUCCUUCAGCACUCUCCACCUCACAGACCAUUUCACCACCUUAUCUACACCAGUGAGAAUUGCUGUUUGACCUAUUAAUGACCCAGUAGGCUUAGAAUAUGAGGUGUUGGUUUCUCACAACCAUGUUUACCCACUUUCUCCCUAUUUCUCUUUCUCAGUAAUAAUAACUACUAUUUAUUGAGCUUCUACCAAGUGACAAGCAUUUGAUUAAUUCGAUUCCAUAUUCAUUUUACAAAUAGUGUUUCUGAAUGCUUGCCAUGUGCCAGGCAUGGCCCUGACACUACUUAUUACCUUAUCCUCAUGGCACCCUUUCAGGGUAGGAGUUAACACUUCAGUGAUCUGGAUGAGAAUACAAGAGAGGUAAGGAGCGUGCUGAUGGUCACCUAGCCAGUGAAUGUGAACUGUCUGACUUUCUCUAAUUUGCCAUAUCCUAAAGCGUGUUUAGAUGCUCUUCCUGGCAUGGAUGUCAAUAAAAGAUUGGAAACUCCUGGAUUGCGUUCAUAAGAGUAAUGUGUUCCUCAUCCUUCUAAACCUUGGCUGGAGUCACAGAAAGCAAGGAAGUUAGAGGAACAUCCUGUUACACAGCUUUGGUACCUGUGUGGGGAGCUAAGAGAUCUGAUGUCCAGUUCCAGUCCUUUCAUGAAUUUCCUCUGUGUCCAUGAGCUACCUAACAUCCAUGGGAAACAGUUGGUCUUAUGCCAACCAAAGAGCAUGGACCAGAUGCUCUCAAGGGUCCGUCUCAGUCAGCUCUUUGCUGAGGGACCUUAUGCAUGGAGGAAAGUGAAUACGUCGCUAAGUGGAUAGCUUGAUGGAAUGGUUGUUACAAAGUGGACACACUUCUGCAAUCAGCACCUUGAUUAAUAGAAAAUUACCAGCACCCCAGAGCCCUCCCCAACUCAUGCUCCAGGAGCAACCAAUAUCCUGCCUUGUGAUGCCUUUGUUUAGUUUGUUUUUAUGAAUAGAAUCAUAUAGUG